Molecule: unclassified non-coding RNA, 359 nt
Filed under: uncultured Pseudotomentella
Lineage: Eukaryota; Fungi; Basidiomycota; Agaricomycetes; Thelephorales; Thelephoraceae
Description: sequence contains ITS2
Rfam family: 5.8S ribosomal RNA (bases 1-52)
Source: RNAcentral
AACGCACCUUGCGCUCCUUGGUAUUCCGAGGAGCAUGCCUGUUUGAGUGUCAUGAAAUUCUCAACUGCCCUUUUAGCAUUUAUGUCAAGGGUGAAGUUGGAGUUGGAGGAUAAUUGCUGGCGCAACUAAGGUUGCUUGUUGGCUCCUCUUGAAUGGAUGAGCUUUUCUGAUAGAUCAUAGCUCAGUAACACUAAUGUGAUAAUUAUCUACGUUAGAUGUGAAAGCUGUGAGUAGAGUGACUUCAAAUAUAUGAAGAUGCUCCUACAGAAAAGGUAUGUCUUGGGGAAAACAAACCCUUGACUUUCAAAUACAAUGACAAAUCUGACCUCAAAUCAGGUAGGACUACCCGCUGAACUUAA